GACGAACGCUGGCGGCGUGCUUAACACAUGCAAGUCGAACGGAAAGGCCCUGCUUUUGUGGGGUGCUCGAGUGGCGAACGGGUGAGUAACACGUGAGUAACCUGCCCUUGACUUUGGGAUAACUUCAGGAAACUGGGGCUAAUACCGGAUAGGAGCUCCUGCUGCAUGGUGGGGGUUGGAAAGUUUCGGCGGUUGGGGAUGGACUCGCGGCUUAUCAGCUUGUUGGUGGGGUAGUGGCUUACCAAGGCUUUGACGGGUAGCCGGCCUGAGAGGGUGACCGGCCACAUUGGGACUGCGGUACGGCGCAGAGUCCUACGGGAGGCAGCAGUGGGGAAUAUUGCACAAUGGGCGGAAGCCUGAUGCAGAAACGCCGCGUGCGGAAUGACGGCCUUCGGGUUGUAAACCGCUUUCGCCUGUGACGAAGCGUGAGUGACGGUAAUGGGUAAAGAAGCACCGGCUAACUACGUG
This 468-nucleotide ribosomal RNA is filed under the name uncultured bacterium. RNAcentral describes it as "partial 16S ribosomal RNA". It matches the Rfam family "Bacterial small subunit ribosomal RNA", at positions 28 to 507 of the family's 1533-position model. The record is from RNAcentral.